Molecule: ribosomal RNA, 306 nt
Filed under: uncultured soil bacterium
Lineage: Bacteria
Description: bacterial SSU rRNA
Rfam family: Bacterial small subunit ribosomal RNA
Source: RNAcentral
GGAUUGAACGCUGGCGGCAGGCCUAACACAUGCAAGUCGAGCGGUAGAGAGGUGCUUGCACCUCUUGAGAGCGGCGGACGGGUGAGUAAUGCAUCGGAACGUGCCCAGUCGGUGGGGGAUAACGCAGCGAAAGCUGUGCUAAUACCGCAUACGAUCUAUGGAUGAAAGGCGGGGGACCGAAAGGCCUCGCGCGAGUUGGAGCGGCCGAUGUCAGAUUAGCUAGGUUGGUAGGGGUAAACGGCCCACCGAAGGCGACGAUCUGUAGUCGUGGUCUAGAGGAGGACGACCACGCCCACACGUAGGAAC